RNAcentral lists this small nuclear RNA (120 nucleotides) under Gopherus agassizii (Agassiz's desert tortoise). RNAcentral's name for it is "U4 spliceosomal RNA (ENSGAGG00000002981.1)". The stretch from base 1 to 77 matches the Rfam family "U4 spliceosomal RNA". From Rfam's summary of the family: U4 small nuclear RNA (U4 snRNA) is a component of the major U2-dependent spliceosome. The structure of U4 snRNA from yeast and human has been reported. Lineage: Eukaryota; Metazoa; Chordata; Testudines; Testudinidae. The record is from RNAcentral.
AGCUUUCUGAGAAAGUGGCAGUAUCGUAGCCAAUGAGGUUAAUCCGAGGCGCGAUUAUUGCUAGUUGUAAACUCUGAGUCUCUGCUCUUCAGGGAAGCUCUUUUCUUUGUGUCAGUGACA